UGGGGGAUAUUGCACAAUGGGCGAAAGCCUGAUGCAGCGACGCCGCGUGGGGGAUGAAGGCCUUCGGGUUGUAAACUUCUUUUGCUCUGAACAAGGCAUGCCUUUGGGGUGUGUUGAGUGUAGGGGUUGAUUAGCGCCGGCUAACUACGUGCCAGCAGCCGCGGUAAUACGUAGGGCGCGAGCGUUGUCCGGAAUUAUUGAGCGUAAAGGGCUUGUAGGUGGCUGGUUGCGUCUGUCGUGAAAGCUCAUGGCUUAACUGUGGGUUUGCGGUGGGUACGGGCUGGCUUGAGUGCAGUAGGGGAGGCUGGAAUUCCUGGUGUAGCGGUGGAAUGCGCAGAUAUCAGGAGGAAUACCGGUGGCGAAGGCGGGUCUCUGGGCUGUUACUGACGCUGAGGAGCGAAAGCGUGGGGAGCGAACAGG
RNAcentral lists this ribosomal RNA (420 nucleotides) under Fusobacteriota bacterium. RNAcentral describes it as "Fusobacteria bacterium partial 16S ribosomal RNA". It matches the Rfam family "Bacterial small subunit ribosomal RNA", at positions 355 to 776 of the family's 1533-position model. Lineage: Bacteria; Fusobacteriati; Fusobacteriota. The record is from RNAcentral.